Long non-coding RNA from Plodia interpunctella (Indianmeal moth), 436 nucleotides. RefSeq lists it as uncharacterized. Lineage: Eukaryota; Metazoa; Arthropoda; Insecta; Lepidoptera; Pyralidae. The record is from RefSeq and is a predicted model, not a curated record. The transcript is spliced from 3 exons.
GUGUAAAUUGAUAUGUCGUGUUACUCAUUAUUAAACGUAUAUGUAUUUGUGUAAUAUGUAAAUAAUUGAGGGGAUAAAUUAAUGGUUAUUUACGGUGAUCGGUAUAUAGACUCCAUUUUUAAUUAUGAUCGAUCAUUGCCCAAAUGCCUUAAUAUAUUUUGUUGAAUUUUAUCUAGUUUGUGUAAGUGUUAUAUGGACUGCUCUUUAGAGGAUACGAAGACGUUAGGAGUGGGUGUAUUCAAUUGGCGCUUUGCACAAAAUAGUUAAAACAUAGAAAGAUACACUUCGCACAAAGGCUCACCUUCUCGCCUCUCCCGAGUGCCCUGAAACACUGCAACCGGGCUGAUCUGAUGUGAGCCACAAAAUGAAGCCAUUGAUGAAGCCCAUUUUUGGGAAGACAUGAUUUGAUUUGUUCUCAUUGUUAAAUGCCAUCGCA